GACGAACGCUGGCGGCGCGCUUAAUACAUGCAAGUCGAGCGAGGUUACUGCGACAGAUCCCUUCGGGGUGAAGUUGCUUUAACCUAGUGGCGGACGGGCGAGUAACGCGUGAGCAACCUGCCCUUCAGAGGGGGAUAACGGCUGGAAACGGCCGCUAAUACCGCAUGACAUAUACACAAGGCAUCUUGAGUAUAUCAAAGGAGGAAUCCGCUGAAGGAUGGGCUCGCGUCCGAUUAGCUGAUUGGUGAGGUAACGGCUCACCAAGGCGACGAUCGGUAGCCGAACUGAGAGGUUGAUCGGCCGCAUUGGGACUGAGACACGGCCCAGACUCCUACGGGAGGCAGCAGUGGGGGAUAUUGCACAAUGGAGGAAACUCUGAUGCAGCGACGCCGCGUGGGGGAAGAAGGUCUUCGGAUUGUAAACCUCAGUAGUCAGGGAAGAAGCAAGUGACGGUACCUGAAGAGUAAGCUCCGGCUAACUACGUGCCAGCAGCCCGCGGUAAUACGUANGGAGCGAGCGUUGUCCCGGAAUUACUGGGUGUAAAGGGUGCGUAAGCCGGGUCAGCAAGUCAGGCGUGAA
RNAcentral lists this ribosomal RNA (579 nucleotides) under uncultured bacterium. RNAcentral describes it as "bacterial SSU rRNA". It matches the Rfam family "Bacterial small subunit ribosomal RNA", at positions 28 to 598 of the family's 1533-position model. The record is from RNAcentral.